CCUACGGGAGGCAGCAGUGAGGAAUAUUGGUCAAUGGCCGCAGGGCUGAACCAGCCAAGUCGCGUGAGGGAUGACAGUCCUAUGGAUUGUAAACCUCUUUUGUCAGGGAGCAAAGUGCGCCACGUGUGGCGCUUUGCGAGUACCUGAUGAAAAAGCAUCGGCUAACUCCGUGCCAGCAGCCGCGGUAAUACGGAAGAUGCGAGCGUUAUCCGGAUUUAUUGGGUUUAAAGGGUGCGCAGGCGGAAUGUUAAGUCAGCGGUAAAAUGUCGGGGCUCAACCCCGUCGUGCCGUUGAAACUGGCGUUCUUGAGGGAGCGAGAGGUGUGCGGAAUGCGUGGUGUAGCGGUGAAAUGCAGAGAUAUCACGAAGAACUCCGAUUGCGAAGGCAGCAUACCGGCGCUCAACUGACGCUCAUGCACGAAAGCGUGGGUAUCGAACAGGAUUAGAUACCCGGGUAGUC
RNAcentral lists this ribosomal RNA (459 nucleotides) under uncultured bacterium. Its description in RNAcentral is "partial 16S ribosomal RNA". It matches the Rfam family "Bacterial small subunit ribosomal RNA", at positions 338 to 795 of the family's 1533-position model. The record is from RNAcentral.